GCGAGAGUGGCGGAAUUGGUAGACGCACUGGAUUUAGGUUCCAGCGCCGCAAGGCGUGGGAGUUCGAGUCUCCCCUUUCGCA
This 82-nucleotide transfer RNA is filed under the name Acidithiobacillus caldus ATCC 51756. RNAcentral's name for it is "tRNA-Leu". It matches the Rfam family "tRNA". Rfam says of the family: Transfer RNA (tRNA) molecules are approximately 80 nucleotides in length. Their secondary structure includes four short double-helical elements and three loops (D, anti-codon, and T loops). RNAcentral also lists the same sequence under 1 other name. Lineage: Bacteria; Pseudomonadati; Pseudomonadota; Acidithiobacillia; Acidithiobacillales; Acidithiobacillaceae. The record is from RNAcentral.